RNAcentral lists this ribosomal RNA (393 nucleotides) under uncultured cyanobacterium. Its description in RNAcentral is "bacterial SSU rRNA". It matches the Rfam family "Bacterial small subunit ribosomal RNA", at positions 376 to 770 of the family's 1533-position model. The record is from RNAcentral. Lineage: Bacteria; Bacillati; Cyanobacteriota.
CGCAAGCCUGACGGAGCAAGACCGCGUGGGGGAGGAAUGCCUUAGGGUUGUAAACCCCUUUUAUCUGGGAAGAAACUAUUGUCAAAGAUAGCUGACGGUACCAGAUGAAUAAGCCUCGGCUAACUCCGUGCCAGCAGCCGCGGUAAUACGGAGGAGGCAAGCGUUAUCCGGAUUUAUUGGGCGUAAAGCGUUCGCAGGUGGUUCUUCAAGUCUGCUGUUAAAGACAGUGGCUCAACUACUGAAAGGCAGUAGAUACUGAAGGACUAGAGUGCGGUAGGGGCAGAGGGAAUUCCCGGUGUAGCGGUGAAAUGCGUAGAUUUCGGGAAGAACAUCGGUGGCGAAAGCGCUCUGCUGGGCCGCAACUGACACUCAGGGACGAAAGCUAGGGGAGCG